RNAcentral lists this RNase P RNA (340 nucleotides) under Mariniflexile sp. AS56. RNAcentral describes it as "RNase P RNA component class A". It matches the Rfam family "Bacterial RNase P class A". From Rfam's summary of the family: Ribonuclease P (RNase P) is a ubiquitous endoribonuclease, found in archaea, bacteria and eukarya as well as chloroplasts and mitochondria. Lineage: Bacteria; Pseudomonadati; Bacteroidota; Flavobacteriia; Flavobacteriales; Flavobacteriaceae. The record is from RNAcentral.
CAAGUAAAUCGCCUUAUCGCUUUCCGUUUAUCGGAAGGAGGAAAGUCCGAACACCGUAGUGCAACAUAGUGGCUAAUAACCACCAGUCGUGAGGCUAGGAAAAGUGCAACAGAAAGUAUGUACAGGUCAUGCUGUAGUGAAACCAGGUAAACUCUAUGUGGUGCAAUGUCAUGUAUACCAACGUUUGAGGGCGGCACGCUCGAUUGUUGGAGGGUAGACAGCUAAAGUGUAUUGGUAACAAUGCACACAGAUAAAUGAUAAGGGUGUUUUAAGUUUGUUUGGAGUUUUCUUUAAAUGGAUUUAGGACAUACAGAAUUCGGCUUAUAGAUUUACUUAAGCA